Long non-coding RNA from Artibeus jamaicensis (Jamaican fruit-eating bat), 483 nucleotides. RefSeq lists it as uncharacterized. NCBI's taxonomy places the organism in Eukaryota, Metazoa, Chordata, Mammalia, Chiroptera, Phyllostomidae. The transcript is spliced from 3 exons. The record is from RefSeq and is a predicted model, not a curated record.
UCAAAUUUUAGUGGACCUUGCUUGUAACAUAGGAGCUAUAAAUACAGGUUGAAAUGAGAGCUGUGAUGACAGGAAGUGCCCCAUACUGAUGGAUGACGUACAUACCUGAGAACGUGUUUAUUGCAGGAUGAGGUUUUCGGGACUCACUAUCCAUCUGGCCAUCAGACCAUGUGUUCUUCAGUUCUCGGCUGGCUUAUCACAGUGUAACUGUCCACCUUGAUAAUCACAAGCUAAGAAAUGUCCCUGCUUUAAUGGAACAAAGCUACCACCUGGGGAACUGGGCACAGGAUGCACCUGUCACUCCGAGUUAUCCCAGGGCCUUCAGAUGUGGGACAGAGCCACGCUGGGGCCGUGUUCCUUAUACUAAAUAAGCUGUGACUGCAUCUGUUGUGUACGUGCUGCUUAAACCCAGAUGCUCAGGAGUGAUGUACAUUUUGCUGAAAAAGUUCUACAGCCUGGUGGGGGACUGUGCAACCAACUGUU